This 490-nucleotide ribosomal RNA is filed under the name uncultured bacterium. RNAcentral's name for it is "bacterial SSU rRNA". It matches the Rfam family "Bacterial small subunit ribosomal RNA", at positions 163 to 628 of the family's 1533-position model. The record is from RNAcentral.
CUAACACCGGAUAAUAUCGGUUUAUUUUCGAAUUUUCCGAUCAAAUGUGGCCUCUACAUGUAAGCUACUGUUUGAGGAUGAGCCCGCGUACCAUUAGCUAGUUGGCAGGGUAAUGGCCUACCAAGGCGACGAUGGUUGGCUGGUCUGAGAGGAUGAUCAGCCACACUGGAACUGACACACGGUCCAGACUCCUACGGGAGGCAGCAGUGAGGAAUUUUGCGCAAUGGGGGAAACCCUGACGCAGCAACGCCGCGUGAGUGAUGAAGGCUUUCGGGUCGUAAAGCUCUGUCAAGUGGGAAGAAACUGCUUGUGGUUAAUACCCAUGAGUACUGACGGUACCACUGAAGGAAGCACCGGCUAACUCCGUGCCAGCAGCCGCGGUAAUACGGGGGGUGCAAGCGUUAUUCGGAUUUACUGGGCGUAAAGCGCGCGCAGGCGGUUUUGUAAGUCAGAUGUGAAAGCCCGGGGCUCAACCCCGGAAAGUGCAUCU